RNAcentral lists this ribosomal RNA (274 nucleotides) under uncultured bacterium. Its description in RNAcentral is "partial 16S ribosomal RNA". It matches the Rfam family "Archaeal small subunit ribosomal RNA", at positions 473 to 747 of the family's 1478-position model. The record is from RNAcentral.
AAACCAGCACCUCAAGUGGUCAGGAGGAUUAUUGGGCCUAAAGCAUCCGUAGCCUGUUCUAUAAGUUUCCGGUUAAAUCCACUAGCUCAACUAGUGGGCUGCCGAAAAUACUGUAGAACUAGGGAGUGCGAGAGGUAGACGGUAUUCGGUAGGAAGGGGUAAAAUCCUUUGAUCUAUUGAGGACCACCUGUGGCGAAGGCGGUCUACCAGAACACGUUCGACGGUGAGGGAUGAAAGCUGGGGGAGCAAACCGGAUUAGAAACCCCUGUAGUCC